AGCAGCCGCGGUAAUUCCAGCUCCAAUAGCGUAUAUUAAAGUUGUUGCAGUUAAAAGCUCGUAGUUGAAUUUCGGGAUCAAUGUUUCGGUCAUGCCGUUGGUAUGUACUGAUAUUAUUGGUUUCUCACCUUCUAAAGAACCGUAAUGCCAUUAAUUUGGUGUCACGGGGAAUUAGGACUGUUACCUUGAAAAAUUAGAGUGUUUAAAGCAGGCUUACGCUUGAAUACAUUAGCAUGGAAUAAUGAAAUAGGACAUCCGAUUCUAUUUUGUUGGUUUCUAGGAUCGAUGUAAUGAUUAAUAGGGAUAGUUGGGGGCAUUAGUAUUCAAUUGUCAGAGGUGAAAUUCUUGGAUUUAUUGAAGACUAACUACUGCGAAAGCAUUUGCCAAGGAUGUUUUCAUUAAUCAAGAACGAAAGUUAGGGGAUCGAAGACGAUCAGAUACCGUCGUAGUCUUAACCAUAAACUAUGCCGACUAGGGAUCGGAUGAUGUUAAUUUUUAAUGUACUCAUUCGGCGCCUUAA
Molecule: ribosomal RNA, 520 nt
Filed under: uncultured Glomus
Lineage: Eukaryota; Fungi; Glomeromycota; Glomeromycetes; Glomerales; Glomeraceae
Description: SSU rRNA
Rfam family: Eukaryotic small subunit ribosomal RNA
Source: RNAcentral